GAAUGCUCAGCUAAAUCUGAAUUUCUGCUCAACAAUGAAUAAUUUUUUAGUAUAAGUAUGUCCCGUGCACUCUUUGAGACAUACUUAUACUAAAAAUAUAUUUUAAAAAAUCCAAAUAUAACCUGGUGUC
RNAcentral lists this microRNA precursor (130 nucleotides) under Tursiops truncatus (common bottlenose dolphin). Its description in RNAcentral is "miRNA (ENSTTRG00000025328.1)". The stretch from base 44 to 95 matches the Rfam family "mir-1302 microRNA precursor family". The record is from RNAcentral. Lineage: Eukaryota; Metazoa; Chordata; Mammalia; Artiodactyla; Delphinidae.